UCCGGCUUAUCACCGGCAGUCCCUUUAGAGUGCCCAACUGAAUGAUGGCAACUAAAGGCGAGGGUUGCGCUCGUUGCGGGACUUAACCCAACAUCUCACGGCACGAGCUGACGACAGCCAUGCAGCACCUGUGCGGGCUCCCGUAGGAGGACCGUGUUUCCACGGCUUCACCCCGCAUGUCAAGCCCUGGUAAGGUUCUUCGCGUUGCGUCGAAUUAAACCACAUGCUCCACCGCUUGUGCGGGCCCCCGUCAAUUCCUUUGAGUUUUAAUCUUGCGACCGUACUCCCCAGGCGGGGUGCUUAAAGCGUUAGCUGCGCCACCGACGAGCAAGCUCGCCGACGGCUAGCACCCAUAGUUUACGGCGUGGACUAC
This 373-nucleotide unclassified non-coding RNA is filed under the name uncultured Alphaproteobacteria bacterium. Its description in RNAcentral is "contains 16S-23S intergenic spacer region". The record is from RNAcentral. Lineage: Bacteria; Pseudomonadati; Pseudomonadota; Alphaproteobacteria.